This is a long non-coding RNA of Homo sapiens (human), 389 nucleotides long. The record is from Ensembl. Lineage: Eukaryota; Metazoa; Chordata; Mammalia; Primates; Hominidae.
GUGCUAUGGAGGACCUGCUUACUGCUAUGAGGUGUUACUUUAUAGAGGUCCUGGAGAAGCUGAUUGAGGCCACGUCAAUGUUGCAAGGAGACAUGAGACUCACAUCAGAGUUCUAUGGCUUAACAUGGGGGAUGGUGUGAAAAGAACCAGAGAUCCUUGGGGAAAUGUCUGAUUCUAAGAUAUUUCUAAGGCUGGUGAAAAAAUAUAUAAGAUAAGCCUGGAGGAGAAGGACCAGUAAUACCAGAAAUCAAGGAGGGGCCUUGAAGAGAAAAGGAUAGCAAAAGGAUGAAGACCUGUCCAAGACCCAGCAGCCAGCAUGAAAGAGCUCUCAAUGGGGAAAGCUGGAACAAUUUCAACAACAAAAUAAAUAACAUAUCACUGGAUUAUAA